RNAcentral lists this non-coding RNA (28 nucleotides) under Rattus norvegicus (Norway rat). Lineage: Eukaryota; Metazoa; Chordata; Mammalia; Rodentia; Muridae. The record is from RNAcentral.
UGCACAGAGCUGGCUCUUAUUGGUGUGA